RNAcentral lists this ribosomal RNA (254 nucleotides) under uncultured bacterium. RNAcentral's name for it is "partial 16S ribosomal RNA". It matches the Rfam family "Bacterial small subunit ribosomal RNA", at positions 524 to 776 of the family's 1533-position model. The record is from RNAcentral.
UACGUAGGGGGCAAGCGUUGUCCGGAAUUACUGGGCGUAAAGGGCGCGUAGGCGGCCUGCUAAGUCGGACGUGAAAUCCCUCGGCUCAACCGGGGAACUGCGUCCGAUACUGGCGAGGCUUGAAUCCGGGAGAGGGAUGCAGAAUUCCAGGUGUAGCGGUGAAAUGCGUAGAUAUCUGGAGGAAUACCGGUGGCGAAGGCGGCAUCCUGGACCGACAUUGACGCUGAGGAGCGAAAGCCAGGGGAGCAAACGGG